RNAcentral lists this transfer RNA (71 nucleotides) under Loxodonta africana (African savanna elephant). It matches the Rfam family "tRNA". Rfam says of the family: Transfer RNA (tRNA) molecules are approximately 80 nucleotides in length. Their secondary structure includes four short double-helical elements and three loops (D, anti-codon, and T loops). Further hydrogen bonds mediate the characteristic L-shaped molecular structure. tRNAs have two regions of fundamental functional importance: the anti-codon, which is responsible for specific mRNA codon recognition, and the 3' end, to which the tRNAs corresponding amino acid is attached (by aminoacyl-tRNA synthetases). tRNAs cope with the degeneracy of the genetic code in two manners: having more than one tRNA (with a specific anti-codon) for a particular amino acid; and 'wobble' base-pairing, i.e. permitting non-standard base-pairing at the 3rd anti-codon position. Lineage: Eukaryota; Metazoa; Chordata; Mammalia; Proboscidea; Elephantidae. The record is from Rfam by way of RNAcentral.
GCUGUGGUGGUUCAGUGGUAGAGUUUUUGCCUUCCAUGUGGGAGACCCAGGUUUGAUUCCUGGUCAUUGCA